GAGAGACUGAGAGCAAGCAGGGAAGGGGCAGAGAGAGAGAGGGAGACACAGAAUCGGAAGCAGGCUCCAGGCUCUGAGCGCUCAGGACAGAGCCCAAGGUGGGGCUCAAACUCACAGACAGCGAGAUCAUGACCUGAGCUGGAGUCAGCUGCCCAACCGACUGAGCCACCCAGGCACCCCUGAUGUAUUUAAUUUUAAAGUGUGUUUCCUGUGGCAAAGAUCCUGGAAUUAAAGAGUGACGUUUACUCUCUCAUCCACACCAGAGUUCCUCAAAUAUCCAGCUCUCCUAUCUCUCAUUGGUCUCUUCUUCUCCCACUGGCACAGCGAUCCUUUCAUCCCGGGAAGCUAUCCGCUCAGAUGAAUCGU
Panthera uncia (snow leopard) is the source of this 366-nucleotide long non-coding RNA. RefSeq lists it as uncharacterized. The transcript has 3 exons. The record is from RefSeq and is a predicted model, not a curated record. Lineage: Eukaryota; Metazoa; Chordata; Mammalia; Carnivora; Felidae.